RNAcentral lists this ribosomal RNA (440 nucleotides) under uncultured bacterium. RNAcentral's name for it is "partial 16S ribosomal RNA". It matches the Rfam family "Bacterial small subunit ribosomal RNA", at positions 338 to 795 of the family's 1533-position model. The record is from RNAcentral.
CCUACGGGGUGCAGCAGUAGGGAAUAUUGCUCAAUGGGGGAAACCCUGAAGCAGCAACGCCGUGUGGAGGAUGAAGGUUUUCGGAUUGUAAACUCCUUUUGGUAGAGAAGAUAAUGACGGUAUCUAACGAAUAAGCACCGGCUAACUCCGUGCCAGCAGCCGCGGUAAUACGGAGGGUGCAAGCGUUACUCGGAAUCACUGGGCGUAAAGAGCGCGUAGGCGGGAUAGCAAGUCAGAUGUGAAAUCCUAGGGCUUAACCAUAGAACUGCAGUUGAAACUGUUAUUCUAGAGUAUGGGAGAGGUAGGUGGAAUUCGUGGUGUAGGGGUAAAAUCCGUAGAGAUCAAGAGGAAUACUCAUUGCGAAGGCGACCUGCUAGAACAUAACUGACGCUGAUGCGCGAAAGCGUGGGGAGCAAACAGGAUUAGAUACCCUUGUAGUC